RNAcentral lists this ribosomal RNA (468 nucleotides) under uncultured bacterium. Its description in RNAcentral is "partial 16S ribosomal RNA". It matches the Rfam family "Bacterial small subunit ribosomal RNA", at positions 28 to 507 of the family's 1533-position model. The record is from RNAcentral.
GACGAACGCUGGCGGCGUGCUUAACACAUGCAGGUCGAACGGAAAGGCCCUGCUUUUGUGGGGUGCUCGAGUGGCGAACGGGUGAGUAACACGUGAGUAACCUGCCCUUGACUUUGGGAUAACUUCAGGAAACUGGGGCUAAUACCGGAUAGGAGCUCCUGCUGCAUGGUGGGGGUUGGAAAGUUUCGGCGGUUGGGGAUGGACUCGCGGCUUAUCAGCUUGUUGGUGGGGUAGUGGCUUACCAAGGCUUUGACGGGUAGCCGGCCCGAGAGGGUGACCGGCCACAUUGGGACUGAGAUACGGCCCAGACUCCUACGGGAGGCAGCAGUGGGGAAUAUUGCACAAUGGGCGGAAGCCUGAUGCAGCAACGCCGCGUGCGGGAUCACGGCCUUCGGGUUGUAAACCGCUUUCGCCUGUGACGAAGCGUGAGUGACGGUAAUGGGUAAAGAAGCACCGGCUAACUACGUG